Molecule: ribosomal RNA, 512 nt
Filed under: uncultured bacterium
Lineage: Bacteria
Description: bacterial SSU rRNA
Rfam family: Bacterial small subunit ribosomal RNA
Source: RNAcentral
GAGUUUGAUCGUGGCUCAGAUUGAACGCUGGCGGCAGGCCUAACACAUGCAAGUCGAGCGGUAGAGAGAAGCUUGCUUCUCUUGAGAGCGGCGGACGGGUGAGUAAUGCCUAGGAAUCUGCCUGGUAGUGGGGGAUAACGCUCGGAAACGGACGCUAAUACCGCAUACGUCCUACGGGAGAAAGCAGGGGACCUUCGGGCCUUGCGCUAUCAGAUGAGCCUAGGUCGGAUUAGCUAGUUGGUGAGGUAAUGGCUCACCAAGGCGACGAUCCGUAACUGGUCUGAGAGGAUGAUCAGUCACACUGGAACUGAGACACGGUCCAGACUCCUACGGGAGGCAGCAGUGGGGAAUAUUGGACAAAUGGGCGAAAGCCUGAUCCAGCCAUGCCGCGUGUGUGAAGAAGGUCUUCGGAUUGUAAAGCACUUUAAGUUGGGAGGAAGGGCAGUAAAUUAAUACUUUGUCUGUUUUGACGUUACCGACAGAAUAAGCACCGGCUAACUCUGUGCCAGCAC